This is a long non-coding RNA of Hypanus sabinus (Atlantic stingray), 513 nucleotides long. RefSeq lists it as uncharacterized. Lineage: Eukaryota; Metazoa; Chordata; Chondrichthyes; Myliobatiformes; Dasyatidae. The transcript has 3 exons. The record is from RefSeq and is a predicted model, not a curated record.
GUGGCAUCAGAUUGGCAUCCCCUGCUCUGUAUAAGCAAGAAAGUCUGCUGUCUCUCACACUUCUAGCGCACAUCAACUCAUAACAAGAUAAAACCUGUAGGCGGGAGAAGCAGGUUUCUAUGCCGUCUCCACUCUCGAAAUGCAGCCUCACAGCAUCUAAUGAAAAGUGAAGUGUGCCUGCCAUUACUGCUAUCCAAGUGGAGAUUACCUGUCAGCAUUGAAAUCUUGGUGAAUAUCCAGAAGUGUUUAAGUAUUUAUAAGACACUGGAACACUUGUAAACACAUCUUCUAUCUCCACAAAAGCUGCCAACCUUACUCAAGGACACACUCUCCACAGAAGCUCAGCUAGAAAGACCUGGGACCAUCCUUUUGUCACACAGGUCAAGACUGUCAAGAAGUUAAGUCCACACACCAUCAAUAGAAUUACACGGCCUCGAAAAAGCUUUACAUAGUACCAGCAGUUAUCAACUGCAUGUUAUUGUUCAGCAAUUACUGAAGUGAUCCAAAAGCGCA